RNAcentral lists this transfer RNA (73 nucleotides) under Crassvirales sp. RNAcentral's name for it is "tRNA-Gln". It matches the Rfam family "tRNA". Rfam says of the family: Transfer RNA (tRNA) molecules are approximately 80 nucleotides in length. Their secondary structure includes four short double-helical elements and three loops (D, anti-codon, and T loops). Lineage: Duplodnaviria; Heunggongvirae; Uroviricota; Caudoviricetes; Crassvirales. The record is from RNAcentral.
UGCCCCAUAGUGUAACUGGCCAUCACAUGAGAUUUUGGCUCUCAUAAUAUAGGUUCAAGUCCUAUUGGGGUAA